Molecule: transfer RNA, 71 nt
Filed under: Malapterurus electricus (electric catfish)
Lineage: Eukaryota; Metazoa; Chordata; Actinopteri; Siluriformes; Malapteruridae
Description: tRNA-Gln
Rfam family: tRNA
About the family: Transfer RNA (tRNA) molecules are approximately 80 nucleotides in length. Their secondary structure includes four short double-helical elements and three loops (D, anti-codon, and T loops).
Source: RNAcentral
UAGGAAGUGGUGUAGCGGAAACACUUAGAGUUUUGAUCUCUAUAUUAUGGGUUCGAGUCCCUUCUUUCUAA